UGGCUAUGAGGAUAAAUCGUAAGCUGAAUUACUGUGAUAAUCUUAUACGCUAUUCUGAGCCAACA
This is a small nucleolar RNA of Crocodylus porosus (Australian saltwater crocodile), 65 nucleotides long. Ensembl annotates it as small nucleolar RNA, C/D box 54. Its record names the gene SNORD54. The record is from Ensembl. Lineage: Eukaryota; Metazoa; Chordata; Crocodylia; Crocodylidae.